AAAUUGAAGAGUUUGAUCAUGGCUCAGAUUGAACGCUGGCGGCAGGCCUAACACAUGCAAGUCGAACGGUAGCACAGAGGAGCUUGCUCCUUGGGUGACGAGUGGCGGACGGGUGAGUAAU
This 121-nucleotide ribosomal RNA is filed under the name Citrobacter freundii. RNAcentral's name for it is "partial 16S ribosomal RNA". It matches the Rfam family "Bacterial small subunit ribosomal RNA", at positions 1 to 114 of the family's 1533-position model. The record is from RNAcentral. RNAcentral also lists the same sequence under 1 other name. Lineage: Bacteria; Pseudomonadati; Pseudomonadota; Gammaproteobacteria; Enterobacterales; Enterobacteriaceae.